CAGCAGCCGCGGUAAUACGAGGGGUGCAAGCGUUAUUCGGAUUGAUUGGGUGUAAAGGGUGUGCAGACGGCUUAUUGAGUCACUUGUUAAAUUCUUCGGCCUAACUGAAGGUCUGCAAGUGAUACUGAUGAGCUAGAGGGUGGAAGAGAGAAGUGGAAUUCUCGGAGUAGCGGUAAAAUGCGUAGAUCUCGAGAGGAACACCAAUGGCGAAGGCAGCUUCUUGGUCCAUUCCUGACGUUCAUACACGAAAGCGUGGGGAGCAAACAGGAUUAGAUACCCGGGUAGUCCCUGUCUCUUAUAC
This 301-nucleotide ribosomal RNA is filed under the name uncultured bacterium. RNAcentral's name for it is "partial 16S ribosomal RNA". It matches the Rfam family "Bacterial small subunit ribosomal RNA", at positions 509 to 807 of the family's 1533-position model. The record is from RNAcentral.